This 421-nucleotide long non-coding RNA is filed under the name Brassica rapa (field mustard). Its description in RNAcentral is "long non-coding RNA (BRAP_LNC004907)". Lineage: Eukaryota; Viridiplantae; Streptophyta; Magnoliopsida; Brassicales; Brassicaceae. The record is from RNAcentral.
AGUUACUCGGUGAAUCAGCUCUAUACAAGUCUCCCUCGCAUGAGCCUCUAUACGAUUCAGUGUAGAUCGAGAACUGGCUAGCUGCAGACAUUCAAUCACUCACAAUAACAUCAUGAAUCAAUCAAUAUAAUGAGCACAUUCAUUAUCACGCAUAGAAUUGACACCAAGAAACCUAGAACUCUAGGACCUAAUUUGUCUGCACCAACGAGUUUUCUGUAGAGGGACCAAACCGAGCUCCAUUCCACAGCUCCUAUGUGACAGCCCGCCAUGUGGCCCGUUGGCACAUACCCAUCAUUGUUCACACUGUGGUCCCAUAGUCACUUAUGCCUAUAGACUUAGCAUGACUAUCCUACUGGCACCUUCUUUCCACCUUUAAUAUCACGUCUUCCACAACAUCGUUCAUCUCACCCUUCUCAUUCAC